Long non-coding RNA from Antechinus flavipes (yellow-footed antechinus), 1048 nucleotides. RefSeq lists it as uncharacterized. The record is from RefSeq and is a predicted model, not a curated record. NCBI's taxonomy places the organism in Eukaryota, Metazoa, Chordata, Mammalia, Dasyuromorphia, Dasyuridae. The transcript is spliced from 3 exons.
CUAAACUGUCAAAUAUUCUAUGCACAUCAUGUAAAAUAGGUCUCUUUCCCCUUAUACCUCUGUGCAUCUCGUUUCCGUGGCUACAUGUUUAUGCAAAUGAGAAUUGUCCUUUCUCUCUCAGGUUGAUUGAACACUGAAUUUGUUUUGCACCUUGGCAAGGCAAAGCCAUGCUGUCUUGCCACCUGGUCUACCACAUAAUUGCAAAAAUUACAUUAUAAUGAUAACUGUCCCAAAAUUAGCCUAAUAACACCAUCUACCUACCUUGUGAGAGAAAGUAACAGUGUGCAAUAAAGAAGGAUGUUAAAACAGAGUUGAGAUAGGGGAAUAAUGUUUAAUUGGCUCUCCAGAGUCUACUAAUUUUCAGAAUUGGAAACCUAGUGUUUGAUUUGUUCUUUUUAGUCAGUGAGAAGAAAAACAUCCUUCAUAAAUUCUGAAUGACAAAUUUGCCCAUCCUUUUUUGCAUGUGGUUCCAGCAUCCCAGGGAUUCUAAAGUGUCAUUUCCUCUUUGGAAGAAAGGGAGCACAAAACAUACUAGUUCACUGGAAAUGACUAGAAAAGAGUUAUCAUGAUCAUGAAUAGAUUGGCCAAGCUGCUGUUGACUCUGUUUUCAUCUGGGACAUUCAUCUCUAGCUUCAGAAAAAAGUAUUCUCUAGCUUUAGGAAGCGAUCUCCUAGCUCCUCCUGGUUGAGUACAAAGGAAAGAUGGUACCAUCAUCAAUAGUGUGCUCAGAUCUCCUAUACAAGAUUGUGGAAUUUACUACAGAAGAGAAAAAUGUGGAGGAAUAUUCAUCAGACCUGGUGGAUCCCUGAGACAAGCUCGAAAUAUCUGCUACUAACAGCAUGGUCAUUAUAAAAGAGAUCACAACCUGCUUCUUGACUAAGAGAGUGACAUUCCUAUUUGGACCAUAGUAAAAAUCCUCUACUCAAUCCAGAACAAAUGGUAAACAUCUUUUUAAAAGCUGAUGAGAAGGAGAAGGAAUAGGGGAAGGGGGAGGAAAAACUCUGUCCCAAGCACUUUUUUCCUGAGAAAAUAAAAAUAAAAAGAAGAA